UACGGAGGGUGCGAGCGUUGCUCGGAAUUAUUGGGCGUAAAGGGUAGGUAGGUGGUCUCAUUUGUCUGGGGUGAAAUCCCUGAGCUCAACUCAGGACGUGCCUUAGAAACGGUGAGACUAGAGUCCUGGAGAGGGUCGUGGAAUUCCCGGUGUAGCGGUGAAAUGCGUAGAGAUCGGGAGGAACACCAGAGGCGAAGGCGGCGGCCUGGACAGGAACUGACACUGAACUACGAAAGCGUGGGGAGCAAACAGG
RNAcentral lists this unclassified non-coding RNA (253 nucleotides) under uncultured Oligoflexales bacterium. RNAcentral describes it as "contains 16S-23S intergenic spacer region". It matches the Rfam family "Bacterial small subunit ribosomal RNA", at positions 524 to 776 of the family's 1533-position model. Lineage: Bacteria; Pseudomonadati; Bdellovibrionota; Oligoflexia; Oligoflexales. The record is from RNAcentral.